This is a long non-coding RNA of Heterocephalus glaber (naked mole-rat), 2701 nucleotides long. NCBI's taxonomy places the organism in Eukaryota, Metazoa, Chordata, Mammalia, Rodentia, Bathyergidae. The record is from Ensembl.
CGGGGGGGCGGGGACGGGGCUAGGAGCCCGAGGGCAAGGCGUGGCGUGGCGUGGCGUGGCCCGGCCCAGCGGCUGGCAGCACUCGGGUGCGGCUCGGCUCCAGGCCGCGUAGUCCUCCGAGGAGCUCGCGCACUGCGCCCAGUGGCGCCGAGGGUUCGCCUGGCGCGGACGCCGCGUCCGGGAGCCAAGUGGCUCAGUGGAAUGCAUUUUGUUGACAUCAACAAUGAGUUGUUUCACACCAGCAUGUGAGUCAGAAGGACACACUCACGGAGAUCCUAGCUUCCAGUUCCCCAACACCAGCAGCACAAGCAGGACGGCACAGUCAGCUUGGGGACGCCCCUGUAGUCAAGCCUGUGAUAAAGUCUCUGUGUCCUUGGCACUGGUGAUAGUCACAUGAUACUCGCUGGUCUCAGAUUUCCACAGGGAGAUGUCAAUGGUGAUACCACGCACGCUCUGCUUUCAGCUUGUCCAAGACCCAGGCAUGAUUGAAGGAACCCUUCCGCAUCUCAGCAGCCUCCUUCUCAAAUUCUUCAGUGGCUCUUUUGUUGAUGCCACCACACUUACACUUCAGAUGGCCAGCAGUGGGGACCUGCCUGAAUCCAUGUGUCCAGUGACAAGGAUAUUGAUGGGAGUCUUUUCCUUUCCCAUGUUGGCUUUGAUUUAGUGGUGAUUUGUGCUCUCGAGGAUAAUCUGUUGUGAAAAAGCUAGUAUUUGUCUCAUUUCUUUCAGCAGUUUUGUAGUUUUUAUUGUACAAAUUUCUGACCCCCUUGGUUAGGUUAGUGUAUCCUUUUAGUUGCUGUUGUAAAUGGAAUUACUGUCAUAACUGCUUUUUCAGAUUCUUCAUUGUUAGUAUAUAGAAAUGCAAUUGAUUUUGCUCCUUGACUUUGUAUCCUGCUGUUUAAUGAAUUCACUUAUUAGUUUUUUUUGUUUUUCUUCACAGUACUGGGGACUGAACUCAGGACCUUGUGCUUGCAAGGCAGGCAAGGCGCCACUGAGCUAAAUCCCCAGCCCACACUUAUUAGUUCUUGUAUGGAGUCUUCCUGGUUUCCAAUAGAUAAAAUCAUACUACUUCUUUUCCAACCCGGCUCUUUUCUUCCUUUUCUUUCCCAUGGCUCCAUGGGAUACCCAGCCCCAUGUUGAGCAGAAGCAAGGACAGCAGUGCCCUCACCUGCGCCUGACCCUGAGGAGAGCCAUCUGGGGGCAGAGCUGAACCCUCCCCUCGGGGUGUCAGGCAUGGUGUUAGUUGUACAGAAAUAGUUUCUUUCUGUUCUAAGUUUGUUGAAUGUUUUAUCAUGAAAGGAUACUGAAUUUUGUCAAAUGUUUUUUCUGCAUCAAUUGAGAUGAUUGUGAUUUUUUUUGCCCUUUUAAAAGCAAAUUUAUUUGUAUAUUCAUUUGCUUAGCAGUACUGGGAAUUAAACCUAGGUUGAAUCCAGGGUCUUCCCUCUGAGCUGCAUCCCUCCCUUGUGGUGUUUUGUUCUGUUGUGACACAGCUCCCUCUGUGUUGCUCAGUUUCCAGGCUGGGUUUGAACUUGCCAGCCUCUGGCUUCAGCCUCUGCACGGUCCCCGCAGGCCAGGUGUGUGCUUCCACACCAGGCAGUUUCCCCUUUAUUGUCUUAAAGAGGUAUGUUACAUUGAUCUACCUUUGCAUGCGGAGCCAUCCUUGGAUUCCAGGAAUAAACCCCACAUGGUCAUGGAGUCCAUUCACUAGUAUCUCCUUGAGGAUUUUUGCAUUGAUGGUCAUAAGAGAUGUUGGUUUAUAGUUUUAUUUAGUGUCCCUGUUUGCUUUUGGCUUCAGGGCAAUAUUGGCCUCAUAGAAUAAGUUAGGAAGCAUUUCCACCUCUUAAAUUAUUUUGGAAAAGCAUCAGAAACAUUGGCAUUCAUUUUUUCUUUUUCAGUGGUAACUGCGGCUUAAACCCAGGGCCUUCACAUUGUUCUACCUACCAAGCCACUUUUUAAUUUUUUAUUUUGAGAUGGGGUCAUGCUAAAUCACUGAAUUGCCCAAGGUGGGCUUAAAGUUGUGAACCUCCUGCUGCGGCCUCUGAGUGCUGGGAUCACAGGCUGCACAGCUACACAGGGUUUAUACAGUUUUGUGCUUUCCAGUUUUAUGCCAUUGAUCUAUAGCUUUAUGCCACUGUGGUUAAAGAAUGUUUCUGUAUUUAUUUAUGGUACUAGAGGCGGAACUUGGGCCUUUGCACUGAGCCACGUCUCCAGCGCCUUUUAAAGUUUUCUUUUUUUGGUACCGGGGAUCGAACUCAGGUCCUUGCACUUGCACAGCAGGCGUUGAAACCACUGAGCUAAAUCCCGGCCCUAAAGUUUUUAAGUUGAGACAGGUCCUUGUUAAGUUCUCCAGGCUGGGCUUAAACUUGUAACCCUCCUGCUUCAGUCUAUGUUCAUUUUUAAAUUUAUUAGGACGUAACUUGUGGCCUGACAUAUGGGCCACCCUGGGACAUGUGCCCCACGCACUUGGGAAGAAGAGCACUUUGCUGCUGGGUGGAGUAUUCGUGCUUUUUGUAGUGUAUUUAACCUCCAACUGUUAUUUACUACAAUCUCUCCCCUUAAUCUUUUCUUUUCUUUCUUUUUUGAGAUACGGGGGACUGAACCCAGAGCCUUCAUAUUGAGCUACAUCCCUAGCCUUAAAAAAAUUUUUUUUGAAUAUGAGAAAAGGAAAAAUGGAAACAAAGUCUCUGUAAAUAGAGAAGGG